CGUGUAUAAUUUCUUAAGCAUACUUGACUAUCAUGUCACCGCAUAUUUUGAACGAUAGGUCCAGUUUGGUACUGGUUACAACAUUUACGAGUGGUUCUAGAGUUUUGUUAAAAAUCAGCUCAUAAAAUACCAACUUGUUUUUCAUUAAUUUUACAAGGAGCCUACUGAUAUUUUGAGUAUCAUGCCAUUAGCUUGUCACAGGUCGAUAGUAUUCUGGACAAGGAUGGAAAUUGCAAAGUCCAUAUUCUUUGAUCUGAAUCUCGAUUGCGGAUCUCACUAGCCACAUGUCGACACGAGGCUCAGCUUUGAAGUUGCACAGGAAAGUUGUCCGUGACAUGCAGCAUGGAGUCGAAAACGAGGUAUUACUGAAUGGUCGUGAGGGGCUGCAAACUUAGCGAACAUGGGAAUGUGUCUUCACUCAAGCAAACUAAAUUUGAGGACCAAAAUUAUUCGCCAUCCGAAUUUGUACGGCACACAAGCCACUUGAAGAGAUAACAAGACGUGAUUAUUUCGAAACGACAAUAACACGCUGUGGUCGGAUUUGUUGUCCUCAAACGCUCGACAAUGCUCCGAGGUGGCAAGAUGUAUUUGGAAAGGUGCUGUCGCAGGAAGGGGUUCGAGUGGAAUGAAAGUUUCUUAUUGAUUGCGACGAAAUUUCGGGGCAAAAAGGACGACUAUCUGAAUCCACUUUAUGACAAUCUUCAGGGCCGAGGUUCGUUCCUCAAUGUGAGGUGUCGGCGAGGAAAAAGCACCUUACGACAUCAGGGGCGGACCAAGCCAAGUCAGUUUUGUCUGAUUGUUGAAUCAUGAGGCUACUCCUCGAUUACAUGCUUUCUGACUUUUACAUUGUUUCUUUCUUUCUAUUAUUUCUUUUCACUCUUGAUCGGAAGUUCUUCAUGCUCUUCACAGACGUUUUCAUAUGUAUUCAAAUUUACCGUCUGGAUAGCAUGCCUUGUGGUCACGAACUCUUAUAAUCAUGUAUGAUUGAAGCAGAAUUUGGGUGAAAUCUGUAAAAUGCCGUCUGCACAUCGUAUCGUGGCUGUCAAGUCUCGUGUACUUUUUUGGCUGGUUUUGAAGAGGUAAUUCGUAGGAGACACGGUCACAUGUGGAUUCAUUCGCUAAGAAUCGAUUACAAUUUAGUUCCCAGAAAUUUCCGUUGAAGACGCCCCUGAAGUACACCUUGGAUGUUAGCUUGCCCCAGAACUUAUCCGAUAGUUGGAGGUCUUGGACUUUGCAAGAGGGCAAAGACACUAACUUUGCCUGGAAAUUUUGCGGAACAUUUCCAUCGAAAAACUUGAUUAGAAAAUUCAUUGAAGAAACUGGCUGAUCCACUCCUUUGAUUUCAAUAAAUUCCAGAAACGUUUUCCUUACUUCAAGCGAGUUGGUGAGCGACUAAACAUUCAGUUGGAAACUGUAGAAUGACGUAUAAAACGAAACAUGUGGCUUCCACACAGGUAUUCAAUACAUAGAAAUUGAGAGCUUUUUUUAAUCUAUGCACAGGUUUCGUUCAAACGAAAAUACUUGAGAACUAGCGAGCAGAGACGAACCUGAGAGGGUUGAAAUUGAAUGUUGUUCCACUAUUGUGAAUCUACAACGCGUUUCACGCAGGAGGCGUGGAAUGUCGCGUUCACCAGAGUUUGGAGGAUAUUUUGAGAUGCGAACCGCAAUUUUUCAAUAGACAGCUCUCACUUCUGCUGAGGCGUAAUUCUUUACUUCGCCACCACAAAGCUGUAGGAGCCCUCCCUACAAGGACAAGGCCAGACACCGAAAAUUUCGCGUCACCACCAGGUCACGCAAAAAAGAGACCUACGAAUCGCCACUUUCUUGCCAGUCCACCGAAUUUCUUCCAUUUGAUUCACGCUUCCGACUGUGAGCUUUCGUAAAAUCCCCUAGUAAUGUUCCCUCUAAGGAGUAAUUCUGACAGAUUCAUGAGAAAGGUGACCAUCAUGGCUAACCCUACGAAACUGCGAGCACGCUCGGAGAAGGCUUCAGCCAGCCAGCCAGCCAGCCUUCUAUGAAAUCUUCGUUAAUGAGAGAUGCUGCACCAGCUGCCGCCUGUCUUUGGAAUACCUCUCGGGCUCAAACCUCUCCCCUCUCCUGUAUAAAAGCAAAAAAAGCAGGAGAGAUACUAGGGGCAGCAACCAUUUGAUAGGCUACAUGGUGAGAUUGUAAUUUUGAAGAAAAUUUAUUCAUGUAAGUUCAUGCACUAAUUUUUUUGUCCAAA
Molecule: long non-coding RNA, 2224 nt
Filed under: Physcomitrium patens
Lineage: Eukaryota; Viridiplantae; Streptophyta; Bryopsida; Funariales; Funariaceae
Description: long non-coding RNA (PPAT_LNC001792)
Source: RNAcentral